This 988-nucleotide long non-coding RNA is filed under the name Manihot esculenta (cassava). RNAcentral's name for it is "long non-coding RNA (MESC_LNC008468)". The record is from RNAcentral. Lineage: Eukaryota; Viridiplantae; Streptophyta; Magnoliopsida; Malpighiales; Euphorbiaceae.
CGUGGCGAAGAGGUUAUUUCCAUGACUGUCGAGGGCCCUCCUCCUCCUGAAGAGUCUCGCGCUAAGGCUGUUUCUGCUACUGCCGUUCCUGGCCCUGGCAUUGGUCGCGCAGCUGGCCGUGGGAUUCCCACUGCUCCUGUCGUUCAGGCCCAGCCUGGCCUUGCAGGUCCUAUCCGUGGCGUUGGUGGGCCUGCACCUGGCAUGAUGCAGCCACAGCUCUCGCGUCCUCCAGUCCCACAACUUUCUGCUCCGCCUAUGACUUACCCUCCAGCUGCGGCUCCACCUGGUGGUACCGCGCCUGUCAUACGGCCGCCUGGCCAAAUGCCUCCUCCUGGUUAUCCUGGUCAAGCGCCUCCAAUGGGUCGGGGUCCACCUCCACCGGUUCCACCUCAGUUUGCCGCUAGGCCACCACAACAGGGGUACCCAAUGCCGCCACAAUUUGCCCAAAGACCAAUGGGAAUGCCUCCCCAGCCACAGGCACCAAUGAUGAGGGGGCCUCCUCCUCCUGCUCCAAGACCUGGAAUGCAAGCGCCACCUCCUCCUCGUCCUGGGAUGCCUCCUCCAGCUGGUGGUGUUCCUGUUUAUGGACCUCCUCGUCCUGGUAUGCCACCUCCUCUCAAUCCCCAACAGCAGCAGCAGAAUCAGCAGCAACAAUGAUUAGGUAUGGCCUAUUUUUAUGUUUGGGAUGUUGCAUUAUUUUGUUCGGUAACUUGUUUGAGUUGCCCCUUUCUUUGCUAAUUGUUAUUCCUUUUAGAGGAAAAUUUUGCUUACUAUUGCAUAUGACAUGGUCUUUGGUGCCACACUGGAAUGGACAAUCACGUUCCGUCUAUGUGAACCUUGAAGUUGAUUUUCUCGUGUCGUAUGAAUACCAAAAAAUAUAUUAAACCAUCAGUGACUAGCUUAAUUGAUCUUUGUUUAUGUGUAGACCUACAGUCUAAUACCAAUACAUUUUUUUUUAUUUCUAGAUGUGGCAAUUACUACAUUUAAA